GGGGAAUAUUGCACAAUGGGCGAAAGCCUGAUGCAGCAACGCCGCGUGAGUGAUGACGGUCUUCGGAUUGUAAAGCUCUGUCUUUUGGGACGAUAAUGACGGUACCAAAGGAGGAAGCCACGGCUAACUACGUGCCAGCAGCCGCGGCAAUACGUAGGUGGCAAGCGUUGUCCGGAUUUACUGGGCGUAAAGGAUGUGUAGGCGGAUACUUAAGUGAGAUGUGAAAGCCCCGGGCUCAACCUGGGCACUGCAUUGCAAACUGGGUAUCUAGAGUGCAGGAGAGGAAAGCGGAAUUCCUAGUGUAGCGGUGAAAUGCGUAGAGAUUAGGAAGAACAGCAGUGGCGAAGGCGGCUUUCUGGACUGUAACUGACGCUUAGGCAUGAAAGCGUGGGGAGCAAAC
Molecule: ribosomal RNA, 400 nt
Filed under: uncultured bacterium
Lineage: Bacteria
Description: bacterial SSU rRNA
Rfam family: Bacterial small subunit ribosomal RNA
Source: RNAcentral